UACGGGGGGUGCAAACGUUGCUCGGAAUUAUUGGGCGUAAAGCGCACGUAGGCGGUCUCUUAAGUCGGGUGUGAAAGCCCUGGGCUCAACCCAGGAAGUGCAUUCGAAACUGAAAGGCUUGAGUACGGAAGAGGGUCUCGGAAUUCCCGGUGUAGAGGUGAAAUUCGUAGAUAUCGGGAGGAACACCAGUGGCGAAGGCGGAGACCUGGGCCGAUACUGACGCUGAGGUGCGAAAGCGUGGGGAGCAAACAGG
Molecule: ribosomal RNA, 253 nt
Filed under: uncultured bacterium
Lineage: Bacteria
Description: partial 16S ribosomal RNA
Rfam family: Bacterial small subunit ribosomal RNA
Source: RNAcentral